AGCGAGCCCUGAGAUGAGUCUUCCCUGGCACUUUAAGUGUCCUAAAGGGUUGUUCGAGACUAGAACGUUGAUAGGUUGGGUGUGUAAGCGCUGUGAGGCGUUGAGCUAACCAAUACUAAUUGCCCGUGAGGCUUAACCAU
RNAcentral lists this ribosomal RNA (140 nucleotides) under Vibrio aestuarianus. RNAcentral's name for it is "partial 23S ribosomal RNA". It matches the Rfam family "Bacterial large subunit ribosomal RNA", at positions 2791 to 2925 of the family's 2925-position model. The record is from RNAcentral. Lineage: Bacteria; Pseudomonadati; Pseudomonadota; Gammaproteobacteria; Vibrionales; Vibrionaceae.